AUCAUCCUGUUUGAGUAAUGCAAUAAAGCAGCAUGCCCAGUUCUUCAUUUUCGGGAGCUUUCCAUACUCCUCGUUCGCACCAGAUGAGAUCUAAUUAUUGUCAAGAGAGUGUACACUUGACACCCACUCCCGGAAAAGCGCGAUGAGCGGUUGUCAGUGCGGAUGGCAAGCGCCUCCGGGCGAUUCCGUACCACCAGCCGGUCCAUCAUCACCAACAACAUCAUUAUCAACGCCAUCGGAGCACGGAUCGGGAUGGAGAGGGAGCGGGCAUGAACUGGGACAGCAGCGAGAUUGGGAACGGGAACCGAACUGGCGAACUGAGCACACAAACACAAAGGCGAAGAUGUAGAGUAGAGUAGAGAAGAGAAGAGACCCUCCGACGGGCAAAAGCGCAAAAUACAUAAUAAUAAAAACAGAAUGUACAAUAAAACGAAUAAAAAUGAAUAACGUGCUGGCGGGGAUUGGAGCGAGGGACCGGCGGUGGGCAGCGGGGAGUGCGG
Molecule: non-coding RNA, 500 nt
Organism: Drosophila melanogaster (fruit fly)
Lineage: Eukaryota; Metazoa; Arthropoda; Insecta; Diptera; Drosophilidae
Source: Ensembl